AGCAUGCAAGUCGAGCGGAUGAAAGGAGCUUGCUCCUGGAUUCAGCGGCGGACGGGUGAGUAAUGCCUAGGAAUCUGCCUGGUAGUGGGGGACAACGUUUCGAAAGGAACGCUAAUACCGCAUACGUCCUACGGGAGAAAGCAGGGGACCUUCGGGCCUUGCGCUAUCAGAUGAGCCUAGGUCGGAUUAGCUAGUUGGUGAGGUAAUGGCUCACCAAGGCGACGAUCCGUAACUGGUCUGAGAGGAUGAUCAGUCACACUGGAACUGAGACACGGUCCAGACUCCUACGGGAGGCAGCAGUGGGGAAUAUUGGACAAUGGGCGAAAGCCUGAUCCAGCCAUGCCGCGUGUGUGAAGAAGGUCUUCGGAUUGUAAAGCACUUUAAGUUGGGAGGAAGGGUUGUAGAUUAAUACUCUGCAAUUUUGACGUUACCGACAGAAUAAGCACCGGCUAACUCUGUGCCAGCAGCCGCGGUAAUACAGAGGGUGCAAGCGUUAAUCGGAAUUACUGGGCGUAAAGCGCGCGUAGGUGGUUCGUUAAGUUGGAUGUGAAAUCCCCGGGCUCAACCUGGGAACUGCAUCCAAAACUGGCGAGCUAGAGUAUGGUAGAAGGU
This 612-nucleotide ribosomal RNA is filed under the name Pseudomonas sp. Its description in RNAcentral is "bacterial SSU rRNA". It matches the Rfam family "Bacterial small subunit ribosomal RNA", at positions 52 to 659 of the family's 1533-position model. The record is from RNAcentral. Lineage: Bacteria; Pseudomonadati; Pseudomonadota; Gammaproteobacteria; Pseudomonadales; Pseudomonadaceae.